UACGGAGGAUCCAAGCGUUAUCCGGAUUUAUUGGGUUUAAAGGGUGCGUAGGCGGAUUGAUAAGUUAGAGGUGAAAUGUCCGAGCUCAACUCGGGAACUGCCUCUAAUACUGUUGAUCUAGAGAGUAGAUGCGGUAGGCGGAAUGUAUGGUGUGGCGGUGAAAUGCUUAGAGAUCAUACAGAACACCGAUUGCGAAGGCAGCUUACCAAUCUAUAUCUGACGUUGAGGCACGAAAGCGUGGGGAGCAAACAGG
Molecule: ribosomal RNA, 253 nt
Filed under: uncultured bacterium
Lineage: Bacteria
Description: partial 16S ribosomal RNA
Rfam family: Bacterial small subunit ribosomal RNA
Source: RNAcentral